CCUACGGGGGGCAGCAGUAGGGAAUAUUGCUCAAUGGGGGAAACCCUGAAGCAUCACCGCCGCUUGUAUUCUUCCUUUUUUCUUCUUUUCCCCUCCUUUUUUUCUCUCCUCUCAUGACGGUAUCUAACGAAUAAGCACCGGCUAACUCCGUGCCAGCAGCCGCGGUAAUACGGAGGGUGCAAGCGUUACUCGGAAUCACUGGGCGUAAAGAGCGCGUAGGCGGGAUAGCAAGUCAGAUGUGAAAUCCUAUGGCUUAACCAUAGAACUGCAUUUGAAACUGUUAUUCUAGAGUAUGGGAGAGGUAGGUGGAAUUCUUGGUGUAGGGGUAAAAUCCGUAGAGAUCAAGAGGAAUACUCAUUGCGAAGGCGACCUGCUAGAACAUAACUGACGCUGAUGCGCGAAAGCGUGGGGAGCAAACAGGAUUAGAUAAAAAGGUAGUC
Molecule: ribosomal RNA, 440 nt
Filed under: uncultured bacterium
Lineage: Bacteria
Description: partial 16S ribosomal RNA
Rfam family: Bacterial small subunit ribosomal RNA
Source: RNAcentral